AGAGCAUAUGGCGGAUGCCUUGGCAAUAAGGGCCGAAGAAGGGCGUAGCAAGUCUGCGAUAAGCCUCGACUAGCUGUCUAGCAAGCUUAAUCGAGGAUUCCCGAAUGUGGAAACACAUCUGUAGAGAUGCAAAUUUAAUUUGCGGUAAGUGGGGGAACUGAAACAUCUAAGUACCCCGAGGAAAAUAAAUCGAAUGAGAUUCCCUGAGUAGCGGUGAGCGAAAUGGGACCAGCCUAAAUUACUGGAUCUUAACGGAUUGGAGUCUUUUGAUCUGGUUCGGUUGUAGGAGUCUAUGUGAAUACCUCCAAGUGUUCAGAAGAGUAAGAAAUCGUUUUUUUAGAAGAAUGAAGUUUGGAAAAACCAGCCACAGAGGGUGAUAGCCCCGUAUUUGAAAAAAAGACGACUCUUCAUAGAUUUCCUGAGUACCACGGGACACGUGAAAUCCUGUGGGAAUCUAGGGAGACCACUCUCUAAGGCUAAAUACCCUUAUUGACCGAUAGUGAACUAGUACCGUGAGGGAAAGGUGAAAAGAACCCCUAAAGGGGAGUGAAAUAGAACUGAAACCGUAUGCUUACAAGCCGUUGGAGCAAUUUAUUGUGACAGCGUGCCUAUUGAAGAAUGAGCCGGCGAGUUAAUUUAUGUAGCAAGGUUAAGAUAUUAAGUAUUGGAGCCGAAGCGAAAGCGAGUCUGAAUAGGGCGCUUAGUUGCAUGGAUUAGACCCGAAACCGUGUGAGCUACCCAUGACCAGGGUGAAGCGAAAUUAACGUUUCGUGAAGGCCCGAACCCUUGUACGCUGCAAAGUGCUGGGAUGAGUUGUGGGUAGAGGAGAAAUUCCAAACGAACACGGAGAUAGCUGGUUCUCCCCGAAAUGUAUUUAGGUACAGCCUUAGGUAUUAACUGAUGGAGGUAGAGCACUGGAUGAGCUAGCGGGCGCAAGCUUAGCAAACUCAACCAAACUAAGAAUGCCAUCAGCCGAAUCCUAGGAGUGAGACAGUGACGGAUAAGCGCCAUUGUCGAAAGGGAAACAGCCCAGAUCGCAAGCUAAGGUCCCAAAGUUAUAGUUAAGUGGUAAAGGAGGUUGGAUCGCCCAGACAGCUAGUAGGUUGGCUUAGAAGCAGCCAUCCUUUAAAGAGUGCGUAAUAGCUCACUAGUCGAGGGGUUCUGCGCCGAAAAUUAUCGGGGCUAAACUAUACACCGAAGCUGCGGGAUUCUUUAUGAAUCGGUAGGGGAGCGUUCUCAAUGCACUGAAUCUGAAUUGUGAAAUUUGGUGGAGCGUUGAGAAGUGAGAAUGUCGGCAUGAGUAGCGACAAUCUUUGUGAGAAUCAAAGACACCGGAAGUCCGAGGUUUCCUACGCAACGUUGAUCGGCGUAGGGUUAGUCGGUCCUAAGGAGAAGCCGAAAGGUGAAUUCGAUGGACAGCUGGUCAAAAUUCCAGCACCGUAAUUAUCCUGUUAUGCAACGAAGGGACGCGAUAAGGACUGUUAAGCAUGCCUAUGGACAUGGUGUGUGGGGCCUUGUAGGGAAGUGAUUGUGGUUAAAAGAACAGUUACGUUAUUAACUGAGAAGGUUUCAGACCUUAAGGCUUCGGCCUUAGGGAAUUUAACACGAACUAUGUCGCCAAGAAAAGCUUCGUUGAUAGGGAUAUUAUGACCGUACCGAAAACCGACACAGGUGGACAGGGGUAAAAGCCCCAAGGUGAACGAGAAAACCAUCCUCAAGGAACUCGGCAAAUUAACCCCGUAACUUCGGAAUAAGGGGAGCCUAAAAUAUAUAGACUUCGCGUUGAAAGUAUUUUAGGCCGCAGAGAAUUGGUCUGAGCGACUGUUUAUCAAAAACACAGGUCCGUGCUAAAGCGAAAGCUGAUGUAUACGGGCUGACGCCUGCCCAGUGCCGGUAGGUUAAAGUGAAGAGUGAGAGCUUUGAUCUGAAGCCCCGGUGAACGGCGGCCGUAACUAUAACGGUCCUAAGGUAGCGAAAUCCCUUGUCGGGUAAGUUCCGACCUGCACGAAAGGCGUAACGACUUGGACACUGUCUCGAGGGUGGACUCGGUGAAAUUGCAUGACCCGUAAAGAUGCGGGUUACGCGCAGCAGGACAAAAAGACCCCGUGGAGCUUUACUGUAGCUUGGCAUUG
Molecule: ribosomal RNA, 2132 nt
Filed under: marine metagenome
Description: bacterial LSU rRNA
Rfam family: Bacterial large subunit ribosomal RNA
Source: RNAcentral